Podarcis muralis (Common wall lizard) is the source of this 544-nucleotide non-coding RNA. The record is from RefSeq and is a predicted model, not a curated record. Lineage: Eukaryota; Metazoa; Chordata; Lepidosauria; Squamata; Lacertidae.
CCUAUGACUGGACUUCAACUACGUCAACGGUGCAUCUCAUCGUAUGCAUUGUCCCGGGUGCGUUGCCAUGGCAACUCCUCUGCCAGGAACCCAGCUAUUGCCAUGUCACUCUAAUGGAGCCUGCCUGAAGUGUUGAUGAUUGUCUAUCACAUUGUCAGUCAGUGGUUGAUUGAAACUGGAGACUCUCCGGAGGGAGGUUCCUGCAGUCUGUUCAGGCAAACAUUUUGCAGGUGUCAGGCAGAACACUGGAGAAGGAAAAGGAGGGUGAUGCUGUUAGCAGAUGUUUCCCUGCUCUUGUAGCCUUUUGCCAGCUGCUGAAAUUGUGACGUGUUCAUAAUGCCAUAGCCAUGCCAAUUCAGGUGAAUGUGGUCUAGCAACAGAGGCACUUCCAGUUUCUGUGGGAAACUUUGUUUUUCGUAGAAUCACAAAAAUCUUGAUGUCCUGGAGUGGUGCUGAAUGUAAUUUUUCUUUGCUGGAAUAUGUCCCUGUUUGAUGUGCCAUUUUGUCUGUAUCUUAUGUACUUUGUCGUUCUGUUCUUCCAGUG